UGGAAAACUCUGAUAAGGUUCUUUAUCACUCCAUGUCAAAAGGCUCACUAUGAUGGGAAUCCUCCCGUGUGCUGGCGAAACUGUGGAUACCAAGGAGCCCAUCACACCCAUAUUAUGUGGGACUGUCCUGUGCUACGGACUUACUGGAAAGACAUUCAUGGUAUAUUACAAGGCAUUUUUAACUGUACAUUCCCUCAGGAUAUGAAGACAAUUUUUUUUGGCUGUAUACCGCAGAACUGGUCCAAAAGUGACAUAUGUCUGUUAAGAGCUUUAUUGGUUGCAAGUAAGAAAUGUAUAACAAAGAAAUGGUCCUCGCAAGACAUACCGACUUUGUCAUUAUGGUGGGAAAUUACGUUAGAGAUAUAUAGGAUGGAGGAAGUAACAGCUCAUGUUAAUGACAGGAUGGCCUGGUUCCAUCUGUGCUGGGAUAAGUGGGUCCAAUACGUUAAUACCUAUAAACCGAAUUUUCUCUUUAAAGCUUGAAACCACCAAUUUAGUUAAUUGUUUACUCCAGACAGAGCUUUCUCCUUUUAUUUUAUAUAUAUAUAUUUUUUUUUUCCUUUUUUUUUUUUUCUUUCUCUUUCUUUCUAUCUGUCUUUCUUCUCGUUUUGUUUUGUUUUUCUCUUGUAAACUGUGUUAAUUAAUGCCUGUAAUCAUCUUUAUGAGGUAAUAUUGUAGAAAUAAAGAAUAUAAAAAAUAAAAAAAAAGGAAGUGACAGCAGGGCCCUGUGCUUCGUACGUCGCUUACUACAUCCAAGAUCAAAUGACACAUCCAAGACCAAAUCAUCGCGCUAACUCUGAGCUCGCUAUUCCGGUUCCCCGAACACACCUGUUGUUGACGAUUAGUAUAGCUGGAUGAAGUAAUGUGAGAUCACUGGGUGGCCCAACAGGGGCUACGCAUCGAUAGUAGAAACAUUGAUCGGCAACCCUUUGAUUGGUCGGUGAAAAUGUCGAAGGAGCGCGCUCGGUAUUUUUCGGCAGCAGAGCAAGAACUCUUGAGUGAGGGAUUUCAG
Astatotilapia calliptera (eastern happy) is the source of this 1012-nucleotide long non-coding RNA. The record is from Ensembl. NCBI's taxonomy places the organism in Eukaryota, Metazoa, Chordata, Actinopteri, Cichliformes, Cichlidae.